RNAcentral lists this ribosomal RNA (935 nucleotides) under uncultured Pseudomonadota bacterium. RNAcentral describes it as "uncultured proteobacterium partial 16S ribosomal RNA". It matches the Rfam family "Bacterial small subunit ribosomal RNA", at positions 130 to 1064 of the family's 1533-position model. The record is from RNAcentral. Lineage: Bacteria; Pseudomonadati; Pseudomonadota.
CCUCUAGAGGGGGAUAACUCGGGGAAACACGGGCUAAUACCGCAUAAUCUCUAGGGAGGAAAGCGGGGGACGGAAAGGCCUCGCGCUGGGGGAUGAGCCUGCGUCCGAUUAGCUAGUCGGUGGGGUAAGGGCCUACCAAGGCGAUGAUCGGUAGCUGGUCUGAGAGGACGAUCAAGCCACACUGGGACUGAGMCACGGCCCAGACUCCUACGGGAGGCAGCAAGUGGGGAAUAUUGGMCAWUGGGGGCAACCCUGAUCCAGCAAUGCCGCGUGGGUKARGAAAGCUUUCGGGUUGUAAAGCCCUUUCASUGGGGAAGAAAGCGAUGUGUGAAUAGCACAUCGUGUUGACGUUACCUACAGAAGAAGCACCGGCUAACYCCGUGCCAGCAGCCGCGGUAAUACGGAGGGUGCVAVCGUUAAUCGGAAUUACUGGGCGUAAAGGCGCGUAGCGGUUUGGUAAGUUGGGUGUGAAAGCCCCGGGCUCAACCUGGGAAUGGCACUUGAUACUGCCUGGCUAGAGUAUGGUAGAGGGAGGCGGAAUUUCCGGUGUAGCGGUUAAAUGCGUAGAUAUCGGAAGGAMCACCAGUGGCGAARGCGGCCUCCUKGACCACUAYUGACGCUUARGUKCGAAAGCGUGGGGAGCAAACAGGRUUAGAUACCCUGGUAGKCCMCGCCCUAAACCAUKAGAACUARACGUUGGRAGGRAUAGCCUUUAAAGGUGCAACUAACGCGUUAAGUUCCCCGCUUGGGAGUCCGGCCGCAAGGCUGAAACUCCNAUGAAUUUACGGGGGCCCGCACAAGCGGUGGGGCAUGUGUUUAAUUCGAUGCAACGCGAAGAACCUUACCUGGCCUUGACAUCCCCCGGAACUUUGCUGAAAGGCGAAGGUGCUUCGGGAGCCGGGAGACAGGUGCUGCAUGGCUGUCGUCAGCUCGUG